GAUGAACGCUGGCGGCGUGCCUAAUACAUGCAAGUCGAGCGAACAGACGAGGAGCUUGCUCCUCUGACGUUAGCGGCGGACGGGUGAGUAACACGUGGAUAACCUACCUAUAAGACUGGGAUAACUUCGGGAAACCGGAGCUAAUACCGGAUAAUAUAUUGAACCGCAUGGUUCAAUAGUGAAAGACGGUUUUGCUGUCACUUAUAGAUGGAUCCGCGCCGCAUUAGCUAGUUGGUAAGGUAACGGCUUACCAAGGCGACGAUGCGUAGCCGACCUGGGAGGGUGAACGGCAACACGGGGAGUGAGAGAGGGACCAGACGGCGACGGGAGGCAGCAGGGGGGAAUCUUGCACAAGGGGCGGAAGCGUGAGGCAGAAACGCCGCGUGCGGGAUGACUGUCUGCGGGUUGGAAACCGCUGUCGCCUGUGACGAAGCGUGAGUGACGGUAAGGGGUAAAGAAGCACCGGCUAGCUACGUG
Molecule: ribosomal RNA, 477 nt
Filed under: uncultured bacterium
Lineage: Bacteria
Description: partial 16S ribosomal RNA
Rfam family: Bacterial small subunit ribosomal RNA
Source: RNAcentral